This 253-nucleotide ribosomal RNA is filed under the name uncultured bacterium. Its description in RNAcentral is "partial 16S ribosomal RNA". It matches the Rfam family "Bacterial small subunit ribosomal RNA", at positions 524 to 776 of the family's 1533-position model. The record is from RNAcentral.
UACGGAGGGGGCAAGCGUUAUCCGGAUUUAUUGGGCGUAAAGCGUCCGCAGGUGGUUGAGCAAGUCUGCGGUCAAAGCGCGAAGCUUAACUUCGUAAGUGCAGUGGAAACUGAUGGACUUGAGGGUGAUAGGGGCAGAGGGAAUUCCUAGUGUAGCGGUGAAAUGCGUAGAGAUUAGGAAGAACACCGGUGGCGAAAGCGCUCUGCUGGGUCACACCUGACACUGAGGGACGAAAGCUAGGGGAGCGAAAGGG